Molecule: long non-coding RNA, 2389 nt
Filed under: Citrus sinensis (sweet orange)
Lineage: Eukaryota; Viridiplantae; Streptophyta; Magnoliopsida; Sapindales; Rutaceae
Description: long non-coding RNA (CSIN_LNC003270)
Source: RNAcentral
GCGACACUUCUCAACCCUUAGAAACAAGGCCUAAAGCGUGUAUUGGCAGCUUCCAUCAUCACUUCUUGCAGUUGGAUCAAAGUUUUCUGCAGUAGGAUCAGUACAUCCUUCAGGAACUGGAACAUUCAUUUGCUGGGCUGCUUUGCCUGCAACAGCAAAAUUUACCCCCAAAAAAAAAAAUGCUUUGUUAUUCUUCAUUUGAUCUCAAUUUAUGCUCUAAAUUUGGUAGAAUGCUAGUAGCAAACCUCCCAUCAAGGCCUCUUAGCUAGGAUCAAGGGGGCUAACCAUAGAAAUUUCCACUCUGAAUAGCAUCUUCAUUAGCUUCACCAAGAGCGGCCUCACUCAAAUACUUGUCAGCCAACUGAACUCUCUUCACAUUCUCUUGCUCUUGCACAAUCAUGUUUCCGUACUCGAGCAGCUUCUCCAUUGUCAUCCUUGGUUGCUCGAAUGUUGGGGCUGCUUCCUUUGAGUUCACAAGGCUCUUGCCAAUGCUUCCAACACCAACACCAGAGAUCCACUUCCUCACCUCAUCAUCAUAGACUCUGGCCCUCAGGGCUCCAAAGAAAUCUAAAACGCAGUCAAAUGAGUGAUUAGCUAGUGUGCAUUUGAUGGGGAGUUUGCAUCAUCAACGGAACUGGAAACUUACCAAUGGAUUGGCCGGGGAAGGUGUCGACAAGCUUGACAAUGUCGUCAUCAGCCACAUUGUCAUUCCUGAAGAUACCCUUGCACACACCAAUACGGUCCUCCCUUGUAGGUGCCCAGUAGAAUUUCUCCAUACGACCAUCACGGAUGAGAGGAGCAUACAAUGUUGAGAAGUCAUUACCGGUGACUAUGAUUGGGACACGGGGGUUCUCCUCCUUGUUGUACAUACCAGGGAGUUGGACACAAGUUGGGUUAUCAGCAAUGUUCAUGAGUGUGGCGUUAACCAUUUGGUUGUUAACUGUGUACUGGGUGGUGCCACCCAUACGACCAGCUCCUGCAUCAAGAUCAUUGAUCAUGAGGCAGCACAUUUUUCCCUUCUUGAUAAUGUCAGCUGCCUCACGGUACCUCUGCCUGAUCAACUUAGCGGGUUCUCCAGCAUUGCCACUUUCCAAUUCUCCGGCACUCAUCAUAAUUGGGCUGAAAAAUCAUUAUCAUAACAUCACAGAGUAAGUACGCACCAAACAUAUCCUCAAACCCAAAAAAAUGACAAGAGAGCAUGGACUCACUUGAUGCCCAUCUUGGCGAAAACAAGCUCACAUUGGAAUGAUUUUCCUUGCCCUUUGCCUCCCCAUAUACCCAAGAUGAGAGGAACCUGUAAAAAUGUAAGUUUUGAAAAAUUAUUAAUCACAUUUCCCUAAAUGUAUUCAUCACUACAGAAACUAUAAGUAAAUAUACCUUGAUGUUGGGCAGGGACAUGAAGUUCUUGGUGAUGUGAACAACAAGCUUGUCCAUGAAAGCAGGGGCAAUGUAGAGACCGUCCAUCGUGUUGUCCAAGUUGUAUCUAAAUCAUCAAAUCAAAUCAAUCCAUGAUCGAAGCCAGGCACUGAUAAUAAUCGAUUAACGAUUGAUGAAUAAGCAUCAUAUAUACUUACGUGCGGAGACCUUGGCUGAUGUAGUCAUAAGAACUCAUGACAGCAUAGUGAGUUCCGGUUCCCAUGGGGGCUUGGAACAGAGAGUCCACAGCACCUUUUCCUCUGGUGAUGUCUUGCUGGUCAUCAGAUUCGUCGUAGGCAAGGCCCUUCCAUCUGUCCUUCUUGGUCUGCUUGUUCUCAUCGACUUCAGCAGUAAUCUUGAAGCUCGCAGAAGGGACCUUGGAUGGGGGGAUCCUUGAGCUUACCUUCUUCAAGCUGGUGCCAAAGAAAGAUGAGCUUGGGACAGAGGUUGCAGCACCAGAGCCAUUGAAGCUCAACUGUUCCCAAAAAUGAACUUAGCCCGUAAGAUUUAACCAUCCAAUAUGAACACCAAUCUCUACUUCUUCAAUUUCUAGACAAAUUAAGCUACUUUUAGUAAGAUUAGCCCAUGCAGACACAAAAUCAGAUACAGACUUUCCCUACAAUUAUAUAUACAUGCAAAAAUACUAAGAUAUACAUGAACUUAGGUUCGUACUAAUCAACAAGUUCCUAAUCUCUAGUCAGUUAAGAGCAAAAUCACAAGCUUCUUUCAUUAACUAAUGAUAAGAAUACAGUCCAAAUUAAACAAAUGGAGCUAAAUAGGCUAAUUAAUAAAUAGUAACGAAGAAGCAAGCUAAGCCAUGGAAAGAUGGCGGGAAAAAGAAAUAUAACAGUACCGGUACAGCAGCAGCCAUUAGGCUAGCGAGAAUUGGACGGCUGUGAUUGAAGUAGCUAAAGGGUCACGCUGCAAUGCAGGCAAAGGAAAGCGAAGCAAUGCGCUGGGUGCGUGUUGUGCU